This 253-nucleotide ribosomal RNA is filed under the name uncultured bacterium. RNAcentral describes it as "partial 16S ribosomal RNA". It matches the Rfam family "Bacterial small subunit ribosomal RNA", at positions 524 to 776 of the family's 1533-position model. The record is from RNAcentral.
UACAGAGGUCCCGAGCGUUGUUCGGAUUCACUGGGCGUAAAGGGUGCGUAGGUGGCUUGAAAAGUUUGAUGUGAAAGCUCAGGGCUUAACCCUGAAAUGGCAUUGAAUACUGUCGAGCUAGAGGUUUGGAGGGGGGACUGGAAUUCUUGGUGUAGCAGUGAAAUGCGUAGAUAUCAAGAGGAACACCAGUGGCGAAGGCGAGUCCCUGGACAACACCUGACACUGAGGCACGAAAGCUAGGGGAGCAAACAGG